GCCGAGGUAGCUCAAAGGUAGAGCGGGCGUCUCAUAAGCGCCAAAUGCUGGGUUCGAUUCCCGCCCUCGGCA
RNAcentral lists this transfer RNA (72 nucleotides) under Candidatus Parcubacteria bacterium. Its description in RNAcentral is "tRNA-Met". It matches the Rfam family "tRNA". From Rfam's summary of the family: Transfer RNA (tRNA) molecules are approximately 80 nucleotides in length. Their secondary structure includes four short double-helical elements and three loops (D, anti-codon, and T loops). Lineage: Bacteria; Candidatus Parcubacteria. The record is from RNAcentral.